This 460-nucleotide ribosomal RNA is filed under the name uncultured bacterium. RNAcentral's name for it is "partial 16S ribosomal RNA". It matches the Rfam family "Bacterial small subunit ribosomal RNA", at positions 338 to 795 of the family's 1533-position model. The record is from RNAcentral.
CCUACGGGUGGCAGCAGUGAGGAAUAUUGGUCAAUGGACGAGAGUCUGAACCAGCCAAGUAGCGUGAAGGAUGACUGCCCUAUGGGUUGUAAACUUCUUUUAUAUGGGAAUAAAAUGUUCCACGUGUGGGAUUUUGUAUGUACCAUAUUAAUAAGGAUCGGCUAACUCCGUGCCAGCAGCCGCGGUAAUACGGAGGAUCCGAGCGUUAUCCGGAUUUAUUGGGUUUAAAGGGUGAGUAGGUGGAUUGUUAAGUCAGUUGUGAAAGUUUGCGGCUCAACCGUAAAAUUGCAGUUGAGACUGGCAGUCUUGAGUACAGUAGAGGUGGGCGGAAUUCGUGGUGUAGCGGUGAAAUGCUUAGAUAUCACGAAGAACUCCGAUUGCGAAGGCAGUUCACUGGACUGCAACUGACACUGAGGCUCGAAAGUGUGGGUAUCAAACAGGAUUAGAUACCCUGGUAGUC